RNAcentral lists this ribosomal RNA (676 nucleotides) under uncultured bacterium. RNAcentral describes it as "bacterial SSU rRNA". It matches the Rfam family "Bacterial small subunit ribosomal RNA", at positions 119 to 809 of the family's 1533-position model. The record is from RNAcentral.
GAGGAACCUGCCUUUCAGUGGGGGACAACAGUUGGAAACGACUGCUAAUACCGCAUGAUGCUUUUGGGAGACAUCUCCUGGAAGCCAAAGCUUUAAGUGCUGAAAGAUGGCCUCGCGUCUGAUUAGCUAGUUGGUGAGGUAACGGCUCACCAAGGCGACGAUCAGUAGCCGGUCUGAGAGGAUGAACGGCCACAUUGGGACUGAGAUACGGCCCAGACUCCUACGGGAGGCAGCAGUGGGGAAUAUUGGGCAAUGGGGGAAACCCUGACCCAGCAACGCCGCGUGAAGGAAGAAGGCCUUCGGGUUGUAAACUUCUUUUACCAGGGACGAAGGACGUGACGGUACCUGGAGAAAAAGCAACGGCUAACUACGUGCCAGCAGCCGCGGUAAUACGUAGGUUGCAAGCGUUGUCCGGAUUUACUGGGUGUAAAGGGCGUGUAGGCGGAGAUGCAAGUUGGGAGUGAAAUCCAUGGGCUCAACCCAUGAACUGCUCUCAAAACUGUAUCCCUUGAGUAUCGGAGAGGCAAGCGGAAUUCCUAGUGUAGCGGUGAAAUGCGUAGAUAUUAGGAGGAACACCAGUGGCGAAGGCGGCUUGCUGGACGACAACUGACGCUGAGGCGCGAAAGCGUGGGGAGCAAACAGGAUUAGAUACCCUGGUAGUCCACGCUGUAAACGA